This 327-nucleotide ribosomal RNA is filed under the name uncultured bacterium. RNAcentral describes it as "bacterial SSU rRNA". It matches the Rfam family "Bacterial small subunit ribosomal RNA", at positions 28 to 334 of the family's 1533-position model. The record is from RNAcentral.
GGCGAACGCUGACGGCGUGCCUAACACAUGCAAGUCGAACGGAGUUUACUUAUUAGAUCCCUUCGGGGUGACGAUUUGUAAACUUAGUGGCGGACGGGUGAGUAACGCGUGAGUAACCUGCCUUACAGAGGGGGACAACAGUUGGAAACGACUGCUAAUACCGCAUAACAUAUUUUGAGGGCAUCCUCGGGAUAUCAAAGGAGCAAUCCGCUGUAAGAUGGACUCGCGUCCAAUUAGAUAGUUGGUGGGGUAACGGCCCACCAAGUCGACGAUUGGUAGCCGGACUGAGAGGUUGAACGGCCACAUUGGGACUGAGACACGGCCCAG